This 406-nucleotide ribosomal RNA is filed under the name uncultured bacterium. Its description in RNAcentral is "partial 16S ribosomal RNA". It matches the Rfam family "Bacterial small subunit ribosomal RNA", at positions 30 to 526 of the family's 1533-position model. The record is from RNAcentral.
AUUGAACGCUGGCGGCAGGCCUAACACAUGCAAGUCGAACGAGUGGCGGACGGGUGAGUAAUGUCUGGGAAACUGCCUGAUGGAGGGGGAUAACUACUGGAAACGGUGGCUAAUACCGCAUACCAUCGGAUGUGCCCAGAUGGGAUUAGCUAGUUGGUGGGGUAACGGCUCACCAAGGCGACGAUCCCUAGCUGGUCUGGGAGGAUGAUCGGCCACACUGGGACUGAGAGACGGCCCAGACUCCUACGGGAGGCAGCAGUGGGGAAUAUUGCACAAUGGGCGCAAGCCUGAUGCAGCCAUGCCGCGUGUAUGAAGAAGGCCUUCGGGUUGUAAAGUACUUUCAGCGGGGAGGCGUUACCCGCAGAAGAAGCACCGGCUAACUCCGUGCCAGCCGCCGCGGUAAUAC